UCCCACGACAGAUCCCACAACGUGAGCAAGUGGAGUGACGGCAACAUGCGGCCGAUGGCGCGACCCAGUCCUUGCCCCGAUCCCGGACGCAGCUGCUGCACUCUGCCCGUCUCCCAGCUCACCUGUGGCUCUUGCUCUUGACUCCGCCCGGUCUCGCACGCAACAGGCACAGGCACACUCACUUCCCGCCGCCACGGGAAGUCAUCGUCGCAGGGAUGACGAUCACCCCUUCGCCCUCGGCCGCCGUCAUUCGGGGAGUGCAGACAAGGGUGGACCCACCCAGCCGGCCGUCCCGAUCCUCUCCGCCGCCGCUUCUGAGCGCACACCUGCCACGAGCUCCCAGCUCCCAAGAGGGGCAAGGUCCUGGUGCGUCCGUCGUGCCUCCGUCGCCCCACGCAGAUGCCCGAGACGAGGAACGGACGAGCCGCGAGUAGGGAAGAGGACAUCCGACACGAGACGCCGCCGCCGCCACAGAGCAGGGCUAUAGCGCUCCCCCGAGCUCUUUCGAUCCUUCGCCCGCCGCAGGAGCAGCGUUUCCACCACGAGGCGUCUUGGCCCGCGGGCGAGCGGAGCGGAGUCGACACGGCCUCCCGCCGCCUGCAUCUGGUCAAACCAGAGGCGGAGCGGCGAGGUGCCUGCUCGCUUCCCCCGCUCUCCCUGCUUCGGGUCCCCUCUCGGAACUGGCGACGCGACCCAGCGUCGAGGUCGCCACUGCACACUCGGUAGCCCGCACCCCCGGUUUUGAAGCGGUGAAGGACGAUCCUAACCCUAAGUUCAUCAUCCCCGGAUUCGGUCCCGACACGGCGGCGCGGUAGCCCUUUGCUUCAAAAGGGCCCGCACCGCGUUCGGCCGCAGAUGCUUGCCUGCCCUCGACGCUCCCCCCGACGUAGCGAUUGCUCGCGCGUCGCGGGGUCGAGCCAAGGGGUGGUACGAGCAUCUUGGGAAGCGUGCCCCUCCAGCAUGCGACGGCCGGCGUGCUAGCUCGCAGGGAGGCGGGAUCGCCUGCCGGCCCCAGCGGCCAGGCAAAUGGUCAUCCUCGGCGCCUGUCCUCUGCGUUCCACCUCCGAUCCCUUGAGAAAGGGAGGUGUGGACCGGAGCGAUGGGCGCGACACGCAUCCAAUCCGACGGCAUCGCCCUUGAACCCUCGCCCAGCAGGUUGGGAGAGGCCCUUUUCAAGCGUCACUGCGCCUUGCCAGCCCCCCCCCAAUGCCAUCUCCGCUCUGUCCCUCGCGACGGCGGAGAGUGCGCGCGGUACCAUCUCGAUGGGCACCGUGCGCAGAAAAGGUGGUUUUUUCCCCGUCCCCUUCUUUUCCACCUUGCCGUGUCCCUGCUGCCUUGCUCCUCGUCCAUCUCCUUGAAGGCGGUCGGGGUAGCUCGCGGGCACGGGACGGCGGCGAUCAACAAAAAAGGGGGGAUGAGCGCGGCCCUCUGACUCCGUCUGGCGUGCGGCAUCUCGUGUUCGACAUCCGACCACCCGACGGCGACUCGUCCCACAGCCUUCCUCGUCUUUCUCUCGGGCAACUGCAAAGGGUAAGGGGCACGGAGGACCAGGUACGGACGGCACCAGGACCGGAGGCGAAUGGCCCAGCCAAGGUUGUCGAAGCGGCGGUGGGGUCUUGGCUUCGGUUUCAGAUCGUCGGCUGGGACCGCGGGAUCUUCGCACCUGGAGGCACAAUCCCCGAAUGGCCACAGGCGGACGGUAGGUGAAGAGGUCAUCUGACCUCGAUGAUGCGGGCCCUCUCGUCGAGGCCGCCUUGUCUCUUUCUGCUCUUCUCUCACCUCCCUCCCGCUCAGCUUCCCCCCUUCGUCCUCGUCAUCGCCACCAAGGACCCCGGCUGCCAUCGCAUUGUCGUCGCGACACGUCGACCACCGUCCAUCACCAUCGGUCUCGCUGCCAGACGGGCGGUGGGGCUCGAGGAGCAAGGCCGAGGUCGCGACCGGACAGCGCUGCAUCGAGGCGGUCGAAGGCGUUGCGGAGAGGAGUGUGUCUGGAGGAAGCCGGGCAAGGCGCGCCGAGAGGUUGCGGGCGAUCGACACGCACACCGGUCUCUUCGGAGCACGCAGAGGAUGGGGCCGGGAAGCGCGCGACGGCGAAGGAGGGACCAGCUUCCCCACCGCCGUCGCCGCGACCUGCUCCGCCUCUCACCGGUGUAGAGUUUCGGCUCGAUUUGCGCACACCCUCGACCCCGCAAACCCUAUUGGCCCUUUGCCCUCCUUCUUCGGCGCCCUCCUCGCCGCCUCGCCCCCGACCAUCUCGAUGCGGCCAUCGUUUCGGAUCCCUGCGGCCUGAGCCCUCGUCCUCCUGGAUCCUACGUCCAUCUGGCGGCGAGGCUGAUCGGGCGGCGGUCGGCGAAAGGGUCGCGGCGGCGAGGCGAUGGUGGUACUCGGGAGGACGAGGCGCAGGGGACGGACGGCGGACGCGAGGGACGGCGGAAGAAGAGGCCGAAGAGCCCAAUUUUUCUUGAUCCCCAUCCCA
This 2476-nucleotide non-coding RNA is filed under the name Pseudozyma flocculosa. Lineage: Eukaryota; Fungi; Basidiomycota; Ustilaginomycetes; Ustilaginales; Ustilaginaceae. The record is from RNAcentral.